This 169-nucleotide ribosomal RNA is filed under the name Liomera rugata. RNAcentral's name for it is "partial 16S rRNA". The record is from RNAcentral. Lineage: Eukaryota; Metazoa; Arthropoda; Malacostraca; Decapoda; Xanthidae.
GCUUUAUAAAUAAUUUAAAUUUAAUUGAUUCAAUUAUUUAAAAAUUAAAUUUGGUUGUUUUAUUUUAUUGGGGUGAUAUGAAUAUAAUUGUUAUUAACUGUUUAAAGGAGAUACUAUAAUAAUAGAGUUAUCAAUUAAUGAUCCUUUUUAAAGAUUAAAAGAUUAAGUU